AUGCCGUUCGGACUAAAAAACGCGGGAGCCACAUACCAGCGCAUGAUUCAAACAUGCCUCAAAAACCAAAUUGGCAAAACAGUCGAAGCAUAUGUGGACGACGUGGUUGUGAAAACCAAAAACUUCAACCAACUGAUAAAUGACCUACGUCAAACCUUCGACAACCUGUGGGCCUACGACAUAUGGCUCAACUUGGAGAAAUGUGUCUUCGAAGUACCUGCCGGAAAGCUACCCGGAUUCAUAUUUUCCCAUACAGGAAUCGAAGCCAAUCCGGUCAAAAUUAGAGCGCUAUCUCAGCUCGCAAUACCAACAGAGCUUAAGCAUGUCCAGAAGCUGGCAGGAUGCGUGGCCGCCUUGAGCCGCUUCAUAUCCCACCUUGGAGAAAAGGCAUUGCCACUCUACAAACUUCUUAAAAAGACCAAUAACUUCCAAUGGACAGAUGAAGCAACCACGACACCCAAAGAGAUUAAGACACUCCUCACCGGCAAUCCUACCCUGGCCGCACCCGGCAUUGGCGAACCCAUGCUACUAUACAUCUCAGCCACCAAUCAGGUGGUUAAUGAUACGUCUCCAACGUAUCUAUAA
RNAcentral lists this ribosomal RNA (585 nucleotides) under Triticum aestivum (bread wheat). Its description in RNAcentral is "partial small subunit ribosomal RNA". The record is from RNAcentral. Lineage: Eukaryota; Viridiplantae; Streptophyta; Magnoliopsida; Poales; Poaceae.